This 2155-nucleotide unclassified non-coding RNA is filed under the name Bombus terrestris (buff-tailed bumblebee). Its description in RNAcentral is "misc RNA ENSBTSG00005031922.1". The record is from RNAcentral. Lineage: Eukaryota; Metazoa; Arthropoda; Insecta; Hymenoptera; Apidae.
CGGCUGCGCAGCCACGUCGACCCACAUUUAUAAAUAGAGAAGGCCUCGUCUCCGUCGGGGUGACGGCGUGGUGUGUGUCACCCCAGGAAUACCACGCUCGACCGAGUGACCGACCGCGUCGCUGUGAAUGGGCCGUCGUCUCUGCGAAACGGGAAACGACCGGUUCCUCGCGUGAAAAACCGCUCGUAAACCGUUUUCACGCGCGUACUCCUAGCAACUUGUGAACUCUCCCAAGGGAAUUCAAAAGAAAAUCAUUAAAACGUCAUUCUCGGAUAUCAAAACGUUAUUACAACCGUUGACGUAAUUUACUCUUCACGCGGAAAACGAGCUGCCGUUCCGCGGACAAGAUACUUAACGCACCGUCUCGUUCACCGGACAACAAAGCUAUUUAUGCCACUUGCUCUGCGAAUAGUCCGAUUGGCCUGGCUCCAGAUGGUAUUUUUCACUUCCAUCUAGAGGCCGCAAGAGCAAAAAUUCAUGAGCGUGGUGAAACAUAUGAAAAGUUGUAUUGGUACAGGAAAAUCACCGUGGCCUCGAUGCCGGGACGAAACAUCUUCGACGUGCAGGUUACGCAACAAAUCGAUCGUUACUGUUGCUGCAAGUAUGCAAUAAAUUUCCUCCAAAUAUACAAUCAACAAAGACCAUCAAAAAUUAUUCGUUACAGCUCGAUGGAAGGUUAAAAAUAAAUAAAAUCCACAAUCGACUGAGAUCGAUAUUUGAACGACAGCAACGCGUGUAAAGAUCCGUGGCACGAUCGAAGCGUGUGCACGCCGCUUUUGUUGCACGCCUAAUGCCGCGCGGUGUCUAAUAAUGUAGCAAGGCCGUUCUUCUCGCUGUACCAUGAAUGCCGGCUCGUUACGACACGUUCCGUUGCUCGAAACUCGAGGAACGUCGACAGACGGCCUAACGUGUCCUCGUGACGCGUCGAUAAAUCAGCUUCACGAGCUUUGUCAGGACGCGCGACCAAGCUGACUCUCAUUGUCUUUUAUUACAAGCAGACAGAGGGAAUAUGAAAAUUCUGAGGAACACGCGACGCGGCCGAAAUCGCUGUGAAACACGGCCACUGCGGAAACACGCGGAAGAUGAACGUUGUUUGGCGCGCAGACACGUAAUGUGCUGUGAGCUUACAUUAUGUGGCGCGUCGAGGUGCUUGAGUAAAAGUAUCUAAACGCAAAUUGAAUGUUGUGACCAUAAUUGGAACCGAUUGAAACUCUAUGAAAAGAAACGUUUCGAUCGUAUCGGCGAUUUAAUAUCGCUACGUUCGAAGAAUACUUUCACUGGAUGCCACAAUAGAUAGAAAAAUGACAAUAGCGAUCGUAGAAGCGCGAAAUCUCGACACAGUUACAGGCGACCGACGACUCUUGUUUUACAUUAAAAGAACCGCUAACCGAUUUGUAACGAUGGAUCGGUAAAUACACUACUAAUUAACGUACGCUGUCAUGUAAAACGACAAUAGCUUUUUACAAUAGUUUCUUCACUUUCACAAUUCGUGUGAUAACAAGCAUGAACGACAAGCAAAUAGUAUUCUACCAUGAUUCAUUUGGAAAGUAGAAACUAUGCAUUAAACUAUGUCGACCAUAGUUGAACUUCGCAAACGAAAGUCUAUUCUCUUGUUUCGGUUUAUCCUUAAUUUAUCUUAUUAAUUUAAUAAACAUCAAUUUUGUUUUAAUGGUACUGUUACAGGACAUACGAAAAAAGGUAUAAGAAUUACUGACAGUUUGAAUUUUAAAUCUUUUUGAGUAAUAUAUUUAACAAUAUUAAAUAUUAUGUAAAUAGGAAAUAAAGAUAUUAUAAAUAUAUGAAAUCAUAGAAAUUAAAAAGAAAUUAAUUACACAGGGAAUAAUAAUUUAACAAUAAUUUGCCGUACCCGAUCAUCGUAUAGUCCAUUGCUUCUAAACGUUAUGUAACAUUUGAUUGAAUUAACUGAAAGAAAAACGACGGAUGUACGUAGUGAUGCUGACCGUGAACUAACGAAGCCGGGCGUUACGCGUUAUUACUCAAGUUCACGGGUCAAAGUUCGAACGACUAUGCGUGAGUUUCGUGUAUGUCGGUCAUGAAUGUUUAUACCUAUGUCGCUUGGCCACGGAACAAUUGACCCCAAUAUAUAGGUCGCUUUCCACCAAUCAACGUAUAUUUCCCUCAUAUUACUUCCACA